RNAcentral lists this ribosomal RNA (961 nucleotides) under uncultured rumen bacterium. RNAcentral's name for it is "bacterial SSU rRNA". It matches the Rfam family "Bacterial small subunit ribosomal RNA", at positions 8 to 967 of the family's 1533-position model. The record is from RNAcentral.
AGAGUUUGAUCAUGGCUCAGGAUGAACGCUGGCGGCGUGCUUAACACAUGCAAGUCGAACGAAGCAAUUUAUCACGAUCCCUUCGGGGUGACUAUUUAUUGACUGAGUGGCGGACGGGUGAGUAACGCGUGGGUAACCUACCCUAUACAGGGGGAUAACAGUUGGAAACGACUGCUAAUACCGCAUAAGCGCACGAGGACCGCAUGGUCUAGUGUGAAAAACUCCGGUGGUAUAGGAUGGACCCGCGUCUGAUUAGCUAGUUGGUGAGGUAACGGCUCACCAAGGCGACGAUCAGUAGCCGACCUGAGAGGGUGACCGGCCACAUUGGGACUGAGACACGGCCCAAACUCCUACGGGAGGCAGCAGUGGGGAAUAUUGCACAAUGGGCGAAAGCCUGAUGCAGCGACGCCGCGUGAGCGAAGAAGUAUUUCGGUAUGUAAAGCUCUAUCAGCAGGGAAGAUAAUGACGGUACCUGACUAAGAAGCACCGGCUAAAUACGUGCCAGCAGCCGCGGUAAUACGUAUGGUGCAAGCGUUAUCCGGAUUUACUGGGUGUAAAGGGAGCGUAGGCGGUUUUACAAGUCUGAUGUGAAAGCCCGGGGCUCAACUCCGGUAUUGCAUUGGAAACUGUAGAACUAGAGUGUCGGAGGGGUAAGUGGAAUUCCUAGUGUAGCGGUGAAAUGCGUAGAUAUUAGGAGGAACACCAGUGGCGAAGGCGGCUUACUGGACGAUUACUGACGCUGAGGCUCGAAAGCGUGGGGAGCAAACAGGAUUAGAUACCCUGAUAGUCCACGCCGUAAACGAUGAAUACUAGGUGUUGGCUUCCAUAGGGAGUCGGUGCCGCAGCUAACGCAAUAAGUAUUCCACCUGGGGAGUACGUUCGCAAGAAUGAAACUCAAAGGAAUUGACGGGGACCCGCACAAGCGGUGGGGCAUGUGGUUUAAUUCGAAGCAACGCGAAGA